RNAcentral lists this ribosomal RNA (254 nucleotides) under uncultured bacterium. RNAcentral's name for it is "partial 16S ribosomal RNA". It matches the Rfam family "Bacterial small subunit ribosomal RNA", at positions 524 to 776 of the family's 1533-position model. The record is from RNAcentral.
UACAGAGGGGGCAAGCGUUAUUCGGAAUUAUUGGGCGUAAAGGGCGCGUAGGCGGCCUGGCAAGUGGAAGGUGAAAUCCCUCGGCUUAACCGAAGGAACUGCCCUCCAAACUGCUUGGCUUGAGUCCGGGAGAGGUGAGUGGAAUUCCCAGUGUAGCGGUGAAAUGCGUAGAUAUUGGGAGGAACACCAGUGGCGAAGGCGGCUCACUGGACCGGAACUGACGCUGAGGCGCGAAAGCGUGGGGAGCAAACGGG